Molecule: ribosomal RNA, 643 nt
Filed under: Actinomycetales bacterium GP-3
Lineage: Bacteria; Bacillati; Actinomycetota; Actinomycetes; Actinomycetales
Description: bacterial SSU rRNA
Rfam family: Bacterial small subunit ribosomal RNA
Source: RNAcentral
CGGUGAAGCUCCAAGCUUGCUUGGGGUGGAUCAGUGGCGAACGGGUGAGUAACACGUGAGCAACCUGCCCCAGACUCCGGAAUAAGCGCUGGAAACGGCGUCUAAUACUGGAUAUGAGAUCAGUCCGCAUGGGCAUGGUCUGGAAAGUUUUUCGGUCUGGGAUGGGCUCGCGGCCUAUCAGCUUGUUGGUGAGGUAAUGGCUCACCAAGGCGACGACGGGUAGCCGGCCUGAGAGGGCMACCGGCCACACUGGGACUGAGACACGGCCCAGACUCCUACGGGAGGCAGCAGUGGGGAAUAUUGCACAAUGGGCGAAAGCCUGAUGCAGCGACGCCGCGUGAGGGAUGACGGCUUCGGGUUGUUAACCUCUUUCAGCAGGGAAGAAGCGCAAGUGACGGUACCUGCAGAAGAAGCACCGGCUAACUACGUGCCAGCAGCCGCGGUAAUACGUAGGGUGCGAGCGUUGUCCGGAAUUAUUGGGCGUAAAAGGCUGUAGGCGGUUUGUCGCGUCUGCUGUGAAAAUCCGAGGCUCAACCUCGGACUUGCAGUGGGUACGGGCAGACUAGAGUGUGGUAGGGGAGACUGGAAUUCCUGGUGUAGCGGUGAANUNCGCAGAUAUCAGGAGGAACACCGAUGGCGAAGG